UCUUCAUUUACUAUACUCUCGCACCGGUCAGAGAGGCGAGAGAGUGUAGAAAAUGAAGAGA
RNAcentral lists this microRNA precursor (61 nucleotides) under Pristionchus pacificus. RNAcentral's name for it is "mir-8364 microRNA precursor family". It matches the Rfam family "mir-8364 microRNA precursor family". Lineage: Eukaryota; Metazoa; Nematoda; Chromadorea; Rhabditida; Neodiplogasteridae. The record is from Rfam by way of RNAcentral.